Molecule: long non-coding RNA, 519 nt
Filed under: Ananas comosus (pineapple)
Lineage: Eukaryota; Viridiplantae; Streptophyta; Magnoliopsida; Poales; Bromeliaceae
Description: long non-coding RNA (ACOM_LNC003099)
Source: RNAcentral
UCCUCUCUCUCUUUACAUAAAUGUAAAUAUACAUGCAUUCAUCCACCGAGCCUCUUUUCAACUUACCUAUUUCAUAUCAUAUUUUAAUUAUAAUAUUUUUAUUAAAUAAGUAAAUUAUACCAUUACUUUCUGAAUUUUUGACGGAGUUUUACUUUAUCCUCUAAAUUUCUAAAAUACACAUCUAACACCUGAACUCUAAUAUUCCAUUCAUAUUACCCCUUUCGUUUAUUUUUCGUCAAACUUCGUUAACCGAAAAUUGAUGUAAGGGUAAUAUGAAUGAAAUAUUAGAGUUUAAGAUAUCAGGUGUCCAUUUUAUAAGUUUAGGAGGUAAAGUGAAAUUCUACUAAAAAUUUAGAAGGUAAUAGAAUGUUGAUGCCAAAAUUGAAAUUAACAUGCCGACCUAACCCACGUAUGAGCCAAUAAGGACACGUGGUACACCAGGAGUCGGCAAUAAGACGCCGGAAGGUUUUAGGCGGAAUGGUUGAGAAGUGGGGCGUAACAUUCACGAUGGGGCGUAAC